RNAcentral lists this ribosomal RNA (255 nucleotides) under uncultured bacterium. Its description in RNAcentral is "partial 16S ribosomal RNA". It matches the Rfam family "Bacterial small subunit ribosomal RNA", at positions 524 to 776 of the family's 1533-position model. The record is from RNAcentral.
UACGAAGGGGGCUAGCGUUGCUCGGAAUCACUGGGCGUAAAGCGCACGUAGGCGGAUUCUUAAGUCAGGGGUGAAAUCCUGGAGCUCAACUCCAGAACUGCCUUCGAUACUGGCGAUCUCGAGUUCGGGAGAGGUGAGUGGAACUGCGAGUGUAGAGGUGAAAUUCGUAGAUAUUCGCAAGAACACCAGUGGCGAAGGCGGCUCACUGGCCCGAUACUGACGCUGGAGGUGACGAAAGCGUGGGGAGCAAACAGG